UACAGAGGUCUCAAGCGUUGUUCGGAUUCAUUGGGCGUAAAGGGUGUGUAGGUGGCGCCGUAAGUCGGGUGUGAAAUUUCGGAGCUUAACUCCGAAACUGCAUUCGAUACUGCGGUGCUUGAGGACUGGAGAGGAGACUGGAAUUCAUGGUGUAGCAGUGAAAUGCGUAGAGAUCAUGAGGAACACCGGUGGCGAAGGCGGCAUCCUGGACCAACACUGACACUGAGGAGCGAAAGCCAGGGGAGCAAACGGG
This 253-nucleotide ribosomal RNA is filed under the name uncultured bacterium. RNAcentral's name for it is "partial 16S ribosomal RNA". It matches the Rfam family "Bacterial small subunit ribosomal RNA", at positions 524 to 776 of the family's 1533-position model. The record is from RNAcentral.